RNAcentral lists this ribosomal RNA (495 nucleotides) under uncultured bacterium. RNAcentral's name for it is "partial 16S ribosomal RNA". It matches the Rfam family "Bacterial small subunit ribosomal RNA", at positions 28 to 507 of the family's 1533-position model. The record is from RNAcentral.
GAUGAACGCUGGCGGCGUGCCUAAUACAUGCAAGUAGAACGCUGAAGGAGGAGCUUGCUCUUCUGGAUGAGUUGCGAACGGGUGAGUAACGCGUAGGUAACCUGCCUGGUAGCGGGGGAUAACUAUUGGAAACGAUAGCUAAUACCGCAUGACAACAGUUAUUGCAUGAUAACUGUUUAAAAGGGGCAACUGCUCCACUACCAGAUGGACCUGCGUUGUAUUAGCUAGUUGGUGAGGUAACGGCUCACCAAGGCGACGAUACAUAGCCGACCUGAGAGGGUGAUCGGCCAAACUGGGACGGAGACAAGGCCCAGACUCCUACGGGAGGCAGCAGGAGGGAAUCUUCGGCAAUGGACGGAAGUCUGACCGAGCAACGCCGCGUGAGUGAAGGAGGUUUUCGGAUCGUAAAGCUCUGUUGUAAGAGAAGAACGAGUGUGAGAGUGGAAAGUUCACACUGUGACGGUAUCUUACCAGAAAGGGACGGCUAACUACGUG